GACGAACGCUGGCGGCGGGCUUAACACAUGCAAGUCGAACGGAAAUGCCCCGCUGUUGCAGGGUGCUCGAGUGGCGAGCGGGUGAGUAACGCGUGAGUAACCUUCCCUUGACUGAGGGAUAACUUCAGGGAACUUUGGCUAAUACCGGAUAGGAGCUCCUCAUGCAUGGUGGGUGUUGGAACGGUUCGGUGGUGGGGGAUGGGCGCGCGGCUUAUCAGCUUGUUGGGUAGGUAGUGGCUUACCAAGGCUUUGACGGGUAGCCGGCCUGAGAGUGUGACCGGCCCACUUGGGACUGUGCUACGGCCCGGACUCCUACGGGAGGCAGCACUGUGGAAUAUUGCCCGAUGGACCGAACCCGGAUGCAGCACCGCCGCCCUCGGGAUGAUGGCCUUCGGGUUGUAAACCGCUUUCGCCUGUGCCGAAGCGUGACUGACGGUAAUGUGUAAAGAAGCACCGGCUAACUACGUG
RNAcentral lists this ribosomal RNA (468 nucleotides) under uncultured bacterium. RNAcentral describes it as "partial 16S ribosomal RNA". It matches the Rfam family "Bacterial small subunit ribosomal RNA", at positions 28 to 507 of the family's 1533-position model. The record is from RNAcentral.